Molecule: ribosomal RNA, 253 nt
Filed under: uncultured prokaryote
Description: partial 16S ribosomal RNA
Rfam family: Bacterial small subunit ribosomal RNA
Source: RNAcentral
CACGGGGGGAGCAAGCGUUGUUCGGAAUCACUGGGCGUAAAGGGCGUGUAGGCGGUCAGGUAAGUGAGAUGUGAAACGCCUCGGCUCACCCGAGGACCUGCAUCUCAAACUGCCUGGCUUGAGUAUGGGAGAGGAUGAGGGAAUUCCUGGUGUAGCGGUGAAAUGCGUAGAUAUCAGGAGGAACACCGGUGGCGAAAGCGCUCAUCUGGCCCAAUACUGACGCUGAGGCGCGAAAGCUAGGGGAGCAAACGGG